CCUACGGGAGGCUGCAGUGGGGAAUCUUACGCAAUGGGCGAAAGCCUGACGGAGCAACGCCGCGUGAGAGAAUGAAGGCCUGCGGGUUGUAAAGAUCUGUUGACAGGGACGAACAAGCAAUGCGUAUAGUCUUGUGCAUGACGGUACCUGUUGAGAAAGCUCCGGCUAACUACGUGCCAGCAGCCGCGGUAAUACGUAGGGAGCAAGCGUUGUCCGGAAUUACUGGGCGUAAAGGGCGCGUAGGUGGGCGCUUAAGUCAGGUGUGAAAACUCCGGGCUCAACCUGGAGACUGUACUUGAAACUGGGUGUCUUGAGGGCAGGAGAGGGAAGUGGAAUUCCUAGUGUAGCGGUGAAAUGCGUAGAUAUUAGGCGGAACACCAGUGGCGAAGGCGACUUUCUGGACUGUACCUGACGCUGAGGCGCGAAAGCGUGGGUAGCGAACAGGAUUAGCUACCCGGGUAGUC
Molecule: ribosomal RNA, 464 nt
Filed under: uncultured bacterium
Lineage: Bacteria
Description: partial 16S ribosomal RNA
Rfam family: Bacterial small subunit ribosomal RNA
Source: RNAcentral